This 7750-nucleotide long non-coding RNA is filed under the name Marmota monax (woodchuck). Lineage: Eukaryota; Metazoa; Chordata; Mammalia; Rodentia; Sciuridae. The record is from RNAcentral.
AACGUCAGUAGUUCUAGCUCUUGAGGCUUAUAAAUAAAAAAGGCAAAUAUAUUUGGACACUUAAGACAUUUACUUGAAAUUAAAAACUGGUGAUUUAUCACAAGUAAUUGUCUUAGAAGAAACCAGGAUUGCAAAUAGAGGACUUAACUAGGUUAGCCUGAAAAGAAGUGGGCAGUCUUCCUGGUGGCAGCUAGAAGAAUCAGCUCAAGAGCAAAGAAGAAAGGAGCAUGGUUGAAAGAGAAAGCUAUAAAGAAGUGGAUUUGGUUGUACAUUCAGAAUGGAAUAGAGAAUUAAGUGUGGUACCAGCCAUGGUAGUGCAUACCACUAAUCCUAGCUAUUUGAGUGAAGCAGAAGGACUGCAAGCUUGAGGCCAACCUCCACAAAAGGAAAAACAAAGAGAAUUGAGUGUGGUCUUGUAAAUAGUGUGGAUUCUGUCAGAAUAACAUUGACUACUUGAAAGGGAAGAGAUGAUCUUGAGGUCAGACAGAUUUAGGUUAAGUGGCAGUUUCUUUCCUUAUUAGUAUAUGGCUUUGGGCAAAUUACUCAACCUUUCCAAGCUUCAAUUUCCUCAUCUGUAGAAAGGAUAAAAUAGCAUAAGGGUUGAUGUGAGGAUAAUUUUUAUUUUAUUUUAUUUUAUUUAUUUAUUUAUUUAUUUUUGUGCUACUGGGCAUUGAACCUAGAGCCUACAAGCAGUGUACCAUAGAGCUAUAUCUCCAACUUUUUUUUUUUUUUUUUUUUAAUUUUGAGACAGGAUCUCACUUAAAUUGCCCAGGCUUUCCCUUGAAAUUGCAGUCUUCCUGCCUUAGCCUCCCAAGUAGCUGGGAUCACAAGCAUGUAUCACAGCACCUGAUUAGAAUAAACUAUUACACAUAUAAAGAAAGCACUGAGCACCUGGUAAGCCCUUACAAUAUGUUAGUUACUAUUAUUGUUAUACAGAGGACUUUGCUUCUUUCUUGACCGUAAGAACAGGUGAGAGCAUCAAGGAUUGGAUUGGAGGUAGAUGCAAAGGGUGUGGAUUCUGUCAGAAUAAAUGGAAAAGAACCAAAGGAAAGUAGAAUUGGACUGCCACUUUCUGGCCUUUGGCUGGGGCUCUCUCCAAAUGGAGUUGUGGAAUUGUCAACUCCAAGAGCCCUGGGUGGCCUUGGAGUCGAAAGCUUGUGAGCGCCCUCAUGUAGAUCAUUUGUGGUGAAACUGCUUCAUGUCUUGUGAACUGCCCUUUAUAAAUGUAUUGCCAUUUAUAAAUAAUAUACAUAUAUGUAAUCUAGAAAGAUAAACAUUAACCUUAUCAUUGGCAACCUACAGUGAGGGAGGUGGAAUUGGACAGGUACAUGUGUGUGUGUAUAGCUGAGUACUUGUAUUUGAUUACUCUCUAUCUCUCUAUUGUUUGAUUUUUUUUUUCCCCAUGAGAAUGGGUUCAUGUGCUGGAUAAAAAAAAAAAAAAGAUUAAAAGGAAAUCAAUCUGGGGCUGGGGAUGUGGCUCAAGUGGUAUCGCGCUGGCCUGGCAUGCGUGCGGCCCGAGUUCGAUCCUCAGCACCACAUACAAAGAUGUUGUGUCCGCAGAAAACUAAAAAAUAAAUGUUAAAAAAAAAAUUCUCUCUCAAAAAAAAAAAGAAACAUACUCUAUUAAAAAAAAAAAAAGGAAAUCAAUCUGAUAACAAAAGAAGAUGAAGAAAAGUACCUUUAGAAACUGCUUGGAAUUUAAGUCCUGCCUGCCUGAUGCCUGAUUAAAGCCUCAGCCCUGGAAGAGACCACCAGAUUAAAGGCCCUGGGGAAAAAGGGAUUGGAAAGUUUUGGUAUCCUUGUGGUAUUUGCUAGUCCCAUAAGGGCAAGGCACCUGGCAGGAAGUUUCCAGUAUAAUGGGAACUGCUCCUCUUUUUAAGGCAUACAAUCCAGGGCUAGAACAAUUCAACAAGUGCAUGGAAUAUCAGAGACCUUCUAGAAAUGCUGAAUUUGUACCACGAUGUUCUGAGGUCCAGGGUAUUUCUCUGGGCAGUCUCAAGGCUUAGCAGCUCAGCUCAGUCCAGCCCAUGGUGUCUCUGCCUUCAGUGGCCCUCUCUUUCAGAGUUGUGGCCUUCCCAGGCCUGUGUGCGGCCCCGCCCCUCUCUCUGGACGCAUCUCUGGGCCCCAUCAUCACCCGGCGCCAGGCCCUCCCUCCUGCCCCCCCCUUCUCCUCCCUCCUUCCUUCCCUCCCUUCCUCCCUCUCUCCUUCCCUCCCAGCUCCUGCACCAGGAAACGGCCCGGAUCCCAGCAGCGGCCUGACCCGUGAGAUCCCUAACCUGGCAGGCGGGCGGGGUUGGAGACCAGUUGAAGGUGGGGGUAAGGUAGGAGCUGAGCCUUUGGGCUGCACUGGGGGGAGCCGAGAGUAGAGAUGGUGCCGGCAGGAAGCCCUUGGCCCUGGGUUUCCCGGGAGGACAGUCAUUAAACAUGGAUUCAGCCACACAGCUGGUAGAGCGUUGGGGGCAGGGACCAGGUUCCAGGAGCUGCAACCCCAGCCCUUCUCAGGCCAGAUCCUGAUCCCUGGCCUUCCCUGCAUAUUUCUGAUCUCUCUCACCCUUUUUCAGGGCUCCACGCUGGCCGGGAGGAUGAAAGGCCCCAGCUGGGGGCUCCUUGCCACCAGCGCUGGGUCCUAAGAGCUGCCAUCCAGGCUGGGUGAGUGUCCCCUGCCUUUCUCUGUCCCAGCACUCUUUGGCUUCUCCCAUAUUUUUUCAGCCCUUAUCUCCUCCCAUCUUGUGCCUCUGCCAACAUCUUCACAUCUUGAUUCUGGGUAGGUUUAAGCCCCUUCCUGUAGCCAAAAAGGUGUAUACUAUGGUGGGGGUGGGAGGGAGCUGUUGAGAUGUUAUAGAGCUGGUGUUAUCUUAUGCAAAGAAUCUAUUCUAAAAAUAAAAUUUCCUUGUUUUACAUUUAAUUUGGCAUAUAACAAAUUCAGUGUCCAGCCCCUAAUGCCCUGGCCCUAUGACAUAAUUUAAAUCCCUUGUUUCUUGCUCUUUGGUGCCCAGGGGUCUCUGAUCAUACCUCCUCCCCCACCUCAUCUUACUGAGUUGGACAAACCAAAAACACCCCUUCUGGGCCUCUCUAUAUUUCAUGUAUUCAUGCCAGUCUUUCAUCCUUGCCCCUUACAGCCGCCCGGAUGGCGACCCCAGCCUCGGCCCCAGACACACGGGCUCUGGUGGCCGACUUUGUAGGCUAUAAGCUGAGGCAGAAGGGUUAUGUCUGUGGAGCUGGCCCUGGGGAGGGCCCAGCAGCUGAUCCACUGCACCAAGCCAUGCGGGCAGCUGGAGAUGAGUUCGAGACCCGCUUCCGGCGCACCUUCUCUGAUCUGGCAGCUCAGCUGCAUGUGACCCCGGGUUCAGCUCAGCAACGCUUCACCCAGGUCUCUGACGAACUUUUCCAAGGGGGUCCCAACUGGGGUCGUCUUGUGGCCUUCUUUGUCUUUGGGGCUGCCCUGUGUGCUGAGAGUGUCAACAAAGAGAUGGAGCCACUGGUGGGACAAGUGCAGGAGUGGAUGGUGGCCUACCUGGAGACGCGGCUGGCUGACUGGAUCCACAGCAGUGGGGGCUGGGUAAGAAGUUUCUCAAAUGCUGCUCUGCACAUCCCUCUGCAAAGCUGUUCUCCAGGGGGAAUAUGGGGGCUCUGAUUGGAGGCUGGGACAGCUGUGCUGGGAAGGAGGCAUGGGGCUGAAUUCUCCUAUUUAGGUGGAGUCAGACUGAGGUUCCCUCACCGAGCAUCACAUUGGACUCUGUACUCCAGGGCUGCCAUACAGUUAUCACUGCAUGGGCUUAUGGUCCCAAGCAAAGGACAGAAUACACAGUACCCAAGAAGUGCCUGCAGGGAAAGGUGUUACACCUGAGUAUAUGGCACGAGAGGUGGGGAGGAUCAGGGAUGGGUGGUGGUCAGGCAAGCCUUGGCAAAGGAUGCCAGUUCUAAGCAGAAUUUUUCAUCAAGGAAAGGAUGAGGCAGUGAGUGCAAGUGAGCCAGGCACUGGGGCAGAGGGGCUGCACAUGGGGGGAUCAGAGGGCUUGCAGUUGGUAGAGCUUUGGCUGGAGAGGAGCUGGGUAUGGGAUAGUGCUCGCAGUGGAUGGAACUGGAACUCUUCCUCUCCUCUUCUCUCCACUCUUUCCUCUCCUGAUAUCCCUUUCUCCUUCUUUCUCUCCUACUUCCCUUCUCUCCCACAGGCGGAGUUCACAGCUCUAUACGGGGACGGGGCCCUGGAGGAGGCACGGCGUCUGCGGGAGGGGAACUGGGCAUCAGUGAGGACAGUGCUGACGGGGGCCGUGGCACUGGGGGCCCUGGUAACUGUAGGGGCCUUUUUUGCUAGCAAGUGAGAAAGUUCAGGGCCAGGUGGGGCUAGGUGUGGCUGGGGGCCAGGAGAGCAGGAACAGAGAACAAGAAGUGAAGUGAAUGGUUGGGCAUGGAACAGGGAAGGGGAGAGGUAGCAUGUGAGGGAACCAAGUGUGCCAGGCAGGUGAUUGGAAGAGUGAGCUACAGUUAUUAAGGAGUUUUAAGAAAAUCAGAGGACCAGGAGAUGGAGUCAUUCCAGGGUUUGGGGGGAGGUGGGAGGGAUCAUGCCUAUAGGUAUGGGCACAUGAAACUACCCAGAGAUGAAUUUGCAGCGCUGAGGAAGGUGGACUUGCAUAAGGAGUUGUGUCUCCCCUGGAUAAGUGGGUUUUGGGGAACUAGAAGGCAUAUCCCUUUGGAAUGGAAGCUUAGGGUUCUCAGGUGAUUGGGAGAGGUGGCUGUGGCUGUGGGCUGCUUGGACACAAGUGUGCAUGUGCACGGGUACUCGUGUGCAUGCUGGGCUGUUUGUCUAAUCUGGAGGUGGUUCAGAUUCUUCAAGGAGAAAACAUUCCCUUUUGCAGUGGCAAGAACAAGGGACAGUUCUCUGCCCCUCCUCCCAAACCCUCUUUUCCCUUCCCCUUGUCCAGAUGCCUCAAGGCUGAAGGAGAAACACUGUAUCCAGACGGAGGGCUCUGGCACUUCUCAGCAGAAAGUUGUUGGUAGGGCUUUGGAGAGAAAGCAAUUCUGCAGCUGGCCUUGUUCCUUCAUUACCCAUUUUCCUGUGCAUCAUGAACUUCCUGCUGCCUCCUGGGCUCUGACAGAAGUGCAGGGCUCUGGAGCAUGGGCAGGUGAAGGCUUCUUCAGUAGCUGGAUAUGCCUGCCACCCUCCCCUCCCACUGGGGCACAAUGGUGCCUAAUAGCUCUGGGACCUCUGUACCCAAACUGAAACUCUAAAUUGGGGCUCAAUUUUCCUUUUGAGGAUGUAGACAUAAAUGCUGAUCUAGAAUAUAGUCUGGGUCCCACACUGUUUCUCAGUGAGACUGUUGAUUCCUUGAAAAGACCAUUCUAGCUUGAGCCCUGUGGGGUGAGGGUGACAGGUACUCUAUGACUGGGCCUAUUCUGUGUUGUGGGCUUUGGUGCUGCUUUAUUAGGGGCAGGUGUAUGGGUUUGAGAGUACCUACCACGAUCUGGAAGCAUUUAUAUUUCAUUGAAGCCACGCUGUUUGCAUGGGUGUUGUUUGUCUGUACCUCAGAGUCUGAGGAUGCUAACUUUAGAACUCACAGUCCUCUAGAACAGAUUCAGGCUAUAGCUUUUUCUUUUAAAGAAGAAAUGAUUCACUCCAGAUGCAUGUCCUGAGCCAGACCUCACUGCUGCACUUUCCAAGGUGCUAAAAUUUGCUGCUCUCCAAUGCUGACUUCAUUCACAGUGCUCUAGAACCCUGCCCAUAAUCCUGAGCACUGAUCAGUUUAGCUAGACAUGGUUGACUCUUCUUGGAGAUUUUUACUUGGUCCCAGAAUAUGGCAACAUGGAUGUGUUUGUUAGAAAGUGGGACCAAAUUGGCCUCAGGUGUUUAGUCCAGACUUUUGCUUUUGAGAGAGGGCUGCACUUUUUAAUGGUCUCUAUGGGGGAGGUGGUAGACUGCAUAUGCCACUUGGUCUGUUGUGAGUAUGCUGAUAUUAGAAACUCAGAGCUGGUCUAUGGCAGGCAGUUGGGGUGGGGGGUCUGACUUGCUCAGGACUAACUAGGCCAGUGGUUUUCAAACUGCUUGGCAGAGCCCCAAAGUAUCCUAGGGGUUGCCUCAGGAGUCCUUGGGGAGAUGAAGGGGAUGGGGGCUGAGCAGGCUGGGCAACUUGCCCUCAAACAGAACAGCUCCUCUUGUAGCUGUCUUACAUACCGGGGUUCAGGGUAAGAUUUUAUUUGCAUUAAGGGUUUUGCUGCUGAAAAAUAAAAGUUGGAAAACCACUGACUAGACCAUCAGCUCCAAAUUGGAGCCUGUGCUCCCCAAGGUUUGGGGCAGACUCUUCACUCUACCCACUACCACAAGAUACUUAUCUGUGUUAGCAUUCCUGGGGGGCUUUAGCAAACUGGGGCAGCAGGGACCAUGAUCAGGUUACCAAAGUGCCCCAUUCUGAGGCCUUCACACCUGGGUGGAAGGAGAGGCUUUUUUAUGAAAGGGUAAAGGGCUUGGUCUGGAUUCCCAAAAGCAGAGCUUGGAUGAGAUCACAGUGGGCAGUUUUGACCUGUUUUGCCCUUCUUAGUUUGAGGAGCAGUGGAAACCCCAGAGACUCUUCUGUCAGGGAAAACUAGGGACUCUCUUCUAGAGCCAUAUAGUUCCUUGGGAUUAGCUCUUGGCCAAGAAGGCUGAGUAUGGCUCCCAGUUUUUAAAUUCAUUUAUUUUUUUUUAAUGAGGAAAAUAAAUGUAAUGGCCAUUUUUCAAAGAUUAAAUAGGUGGAGAGGGUGUUUCUUGCUCUCCAGAGCCCAAAGGGACAAAUAGGGACUUUGCUUAGGCCAAGGAAGGACUGGAAGUAGGGCAACUGGGUCCUGCGAUUAUUAAUUGUACUCCCCACUUAUUGUAGGGCAUACAUACACUAUUUUACUUUUUUAAAAUCAUAAAACGGCAGGAGAACAGAUUUGGUUAGUUUAGAAGAAAAGAAAAAGCUCUAUAAAUAUAAAUAUAUAUUCCUGUAUUUUUAUUUAAUAAUUUAUAAAUAUCAAGUUCAUUUGACUUUUAUUUUUGUGUAAUAUGUAAUGGUCGUAUUAAAAAAAUAAAUAAAGCCCAGAAGUUUAAUGAGAAGGACUGAACAGGGUUUUGUGACUUUAUACUGUAUAACUGGGGUCAGAACAUUCCUCGAUCCAAUCAUCUGUUCGUGAUAUUGCUAAGGGCAAGAAUUAGAGUUAUAGGGUUUUGGGAAACUGUUGAGAUUAAAAAAAAAAAAAUCAGAGUUGUUCUACCAUCUUCCUCACCCCACCCCUAUUCUGGUCAAGUACCCAAAGCCAAGAACUCCAUCUAUCCCAACCCAAGCUUCAAGAGGGUGUAGGUAUAUGGUACUUUGGGACCGCCACAAACAAAAAAUCAAAACAAAGAAAACCUCCCUAAAAUCUUUAUGCAAAAUCAACUCCCCAGCUAUUGUUUGGCCUCAAAUCAGAAGUGUGUGAUAAUGAUCCUUUCUCACUGAUGCCUACUUCAGAUUUAGAAUAUAUCUAUCAGAAAUGGAGCUCCUGCUUUCUUGUCUAGUCCCCAGAGAUAUUUGGUUUCAGCCAUUUCACUGCAAACUGCUAAUUGGAUGGAAUCUCCAGGAUUAUUCAGUCCAUUCCCCUCUGUACCUCUAGUUAGGACCACAUCAGAAUCAUUUCUGACAGGAACCGUGAUUUUAAUUUUAAAUUUCAAAUGGAAAUUUCUGAUCUUUCUAUAUCCCAGUGCAAUAAAUUGAUGUUUGGGUUUAUGUGUUAAAUUGUGAGAAAUAAUUGCUUAGAG